This 407-nucleotide ribosomal RNA is filed under the name uncultured bacterium. RNAcentral describes it as "bacterial SSU rRNA". It matches the Rfam family "Bacterial small subunit ribosomal RNA", at positions 28 to 428 of the family's 1533-position model. The record is from RNAcentral.
GAUGAACGCUAGCUACAGGCUUAACACAUGCAAGUCGAGGGGAAACGACAUCGAAAGCUUGCUUUUGAUGGGCGUCGACCGGCGCACGGGUGAGUAACGCGUAUCCAACCUGCCCACCACUUGGGGAUAACCUUGCGAAAGUAAGACUAAUACCCAAUGACGUCUCUAGAAGACAUCUGAAAGGGAUUAAAGAUUUAUCGGUGAUGGAUGGGGAUGCGUCUGAUUAGCUUGUUGGCGGGGUAACGGCCCGACCAAGGCGACGAUCAGUAGCCGGUCUGAGAGGAUGAACGGCCACAUUGGGACUGAGAUACGGCCCAGACUCCUACGGGAGGCAGCAGUGGGGAAUAUUGGGCAAUGGGGGAAACCCUGACCCAGCAACGCCGACGUGGAGGAAGAAGGGCCCCUAA